CCGCAGAACUGCUUGCCCCUUAUACUGGCGAUAUUGUUGCAGAAGGGAUCAGCAAGACCCUGCGCGGUGGGGCUACGUUUUUAUGCCGUACCGUUCAACGUCAGCAGCGUUAUGUUGCCGAAGCGAUCACCGAAGAGUGGCGCAUGGCCCCGGGCCCGCUGGAAGUUGCAUGGUUUGCCGAAGAAACCGCUGCCGUUGAGCGUGCGGUCGACUCCCUGGCCAAACGGCUGGAAAAACUGGAGGCCAAAUGA
This 251-nucleotide small RNA is filed under the name Citrobacter gillenii. Its description in RNAcentral is "Erse small RNA". It matches the Rfam family "Erse small RNA". Lineage: Bacteria; Pseudomonadati; Pseudomonadota; Gammaproteobacteria; Enterobacterales; Enterobacteriaceae. The record is from RNAcentral.